RNAcentral lists this ribosomal RNA (234 nucleotides) under Priestia flexa. RNAcentral's name for it is "Bacillus flexus partial 16S ribosomal RNA". It matches the Rfam family "Bacterial small subunit ribosomal RNA", at positions 1308 to 1533 of the family's 1533-position model. Lineage: Bacteria; Bacillati; Bacillota; Bacilli; Caryophanales; Bacillaceae. The record is from RNAcentral.
CAACUCGCCUACAUGAAGCUGGAAUCGCUAGUAAUCGCGGAUCAGCAUGCCGCGGUGAAUACGUUCCCGGGCCUUGUACACACCGCCCGUCACACCACGAGAGUUUGUAACACCCGAAGUCGGUGGGGUAACCUUUAUGGAGCCAGCCGCCUAAGGUGGGACAGAUGAUUGGGGUGAAGUCGUAACAAGGUAGCCGUAUCGGAAGGUGCGGCUGGAUCACCUCCUUUCUAAGGA